This 480-nucleotide ribosomal RNA is filed under the name uncultured bacterium. Its description in RNAcentral is "bacterial SSU rRNA". It matches the Rfam family "Bacterial small subunit ribosomal RNA", at positions 903 to 1397 of the family's 1533-position model. The record is from RNAcentral.
AAAUGAAUAGACGGGGGCUCGCACAAGCGGUGGAACAUGGGGUUUAAUUCGACAAUAAGCGGAGAACCUCACCAAGGUUUGACAUCUACGGAAUCUCGCGUAAUGGCGAGAGUGCCCUUCGGGGAGCCGUAAGACAGGUGCUGCACGGUCGUCGUCAGCUCGUGGCAUGAGUUGUUCCGUUAAGUCGGGAAACGAGCGCAACCCCUAUCGUCUGUUAAAUUUCUCAGACGAGACUGCCCUCGCAAGAGGGAGGAAGGUGGGGAUGACGUCAGAUCAGCGUGGCCUUUAUACCUUGGGCUACACCCGUGUUACAAUGGCUGGUACAGUGGGUUGCAAUAUCGCGAGAUGGAGCUAAUCCCCAAAACCAGUCCAAGUUCGGAUUGGAGUCUGCAAUUCGACUCCAUGAAGUUGGAAUCGCUAGUAACCGUGGAUCAGAACGCCACGGUGAAUACGUUCUCGAGCCUUGCACACACCGCCCGU